GGGGACGUAGCUCAAUUGGUUAGAGCUCGUGAUUGUCGAUCACGAGGUUGCGAGUUCGAGUCUCGUCGUCCCCG
RNAcentral lists this transfer RNA (74 nucleotides) under Candidatus Nealsoniibacteriota bacterium. RNAcentral's name for it is "Candidatus Nealsonbacteria bacterium tRNA-Asp". It matches the Rfam family "tRNA". Rfam says of the family: Transfer RNA (tRNA) molecules are approximately 80 nucleotides in length. Their secondary structure includes four short double-helical elements and three loops (D, anti-codon, and T loops). Lineage: Bacteria; Candidatus Nealsoniibacteriota. The record is from RNAcentral.